UUUGCAGGUGAACGCGGAAAAGGCCUGUUGACAAUUUAGUGCUGUUUUAAGAACUACUAAGUGAAAUAAAAUGUUCACUUCUUCUGCAUUAGUAUAAAAAUGUUACUAAGUAAUAAAUUGAUUCUUCUUUAACAU
Molecule: long non-coding RNA, 135 nt
Organism: Phyllostomus discolor (pale spear-nosed bat)
Lineage: Eukaryota; Metazoa; Chordata; Mammalia; Chiroptera; Phyllostomidae
Exons: 3
Source: RefSeq, a predicted model, not a curated record